This 232-nucleotide ribosomal RNA is filed under the name uncultured bacterium. Its description in RNAcentral is "partial 16S ribosomal RNA". It matches the Rfam family "Bacterial small subunit ribosomal RNA", at positions 15 to 240 of the family's 1533-position model. The record is from RNAcentral.
GAUCCUGCUCAGGAUGAACGCUGGCGGCGUGCCUAAUACAUGCAAGUAGAACGCUGAAGGAGGAGCUUGCUCUUCUGGAUGAGUUGCGAACGGGUGAGUAACGCGUAGGUAACCUGCCUGGUAGCGGGGGAUAACUAUUGGAAACGAUAGCUAAUACCGCAUGACAACAGUUAUUGCAUGAUAACUGUUUAAAAGGGGCAACUGCUCUACUACCAGAUGGACCUGCGUUGUA